This 35-nucleotide small nuclear RNA is filed under the name Cervus elaphus hippelaphus. Lineage: Eukaryota; Metazoa; Chordata; Mammalia; Artiodactyla; Cervidae. The record is from RNAcentral.
GUGCUCACUUCGGUAGCACAUACACUGAAAUUGAA